RNAcentral lists this ribosomal RNA (486 nucleotides) under uncultured bacterium. RNAcentral's name for it is "partial 16S ribosomal RNA". It matches the Rfam family "Bacterial small subunit ribosomal RNA", at positions 28 to 507 of the family's 1533-position model. The record is from RNAcentral.
AUCGAACGCUGGCGGCAUGCCUUACACAUGCAAGUCGAACGGCAGCACGGGUGCUUGCACCUCGCGGCUAGUGGCGGCCGGGGGACUAAUCCAUCGGAACAUGUCCUGUAGUCGGGGAUAGCCCGGCGAACGCCGGAUUAAUACCGAACACGAUCUUCGGACGAAAGCGGGGGCCCUCCGGGCCUCGCCCUAUUGGGUUGGCCGAUGUCUGACUAGCUAGUUGGCGGGGUCAAGGCCUACCAAGGCGACGAUCAGUAGCUGGUCUGAGAGGACGACCAGCCACCUUGGGAGUGAGACACGGCCGCGACACCUGCGGGAGGCAACAGUGGGGAAUUUUGGAGAAGGCGCGAAUGCCGGAUCCAGCAAAGCCGCGUAUGUGAAGAUGGAGUACUGCCUCUAGAGCACUUAUGGCCGUAGAGUAAUCCUGGACUCUAACCCAGGCUGGGGAUGACGGUACCGGAAGAAUAAGCACCGGCUAACUACGUG